This 71-nucleotide transfer RNA is filed under the name Loxodonta africana (African savanna elephant). It matches the Rfam family "tRNA". From Rfam's summary of the family: Transfer RNA (tRNA) molecules are approximately 80 nucleotides in length. The record is from Rfam by way of RNAcentral. Lineage: Eukaryota; Metazoa; Chordata; Mammalia; Proboscidea; Elephantidae.
GCAGUGGUGGUUCAGUGGUAGAAUUCUUGCCUUCCACGCAGGAGACCCUGGUUCAAUUCCCAGCCAGUGCA